UUUGAAGUUUCCUGUGGAGGUGGGGCUGUGAUGUGUCAGCCUCCCAUUGGAUAAUUGUUGUUUACAUAAAGAAUGAAGAAGUUCAUGAGUUGAAAGCAGGAAGUCAUUACAUGAAGAAAAACUCACUGAAGAUCAUUAACAGACAUGAAAAUUUAACUAAAGGAACAAACUGCAGCCGAGCGAAAACUGUGGACUGAAAACCAGAGACCACAUGACAACACACCUGAAACUACAGCUGAGCAGACAGGUGAGGAACAUGGAGCAGAAACAGAUGAACACUGAAUCAACCAAAAUCUCAAUGAACUGUGACAAGAUGCAAUACUUUGCUGCCAUGAUGGAUGUCUGUCUUCAUUUAGAGUCUCUGCUGUGCUGUCAUCACUUGUGGACACACCUGUGGACUCAGCUGCUCUGAGGGUUUCGAUGGGUCCUUCAGGUUUUUCUUGGACAGGACACAGAUAUGAGUGCUGUCUGGAUCUUUUCGCAGGAUCAAUGAUGAUGUUUGAUGAUGAUGAUGAUGAUAAUGAUGAAGGAGGAGGAAGCUGAGAGUGUCUCCGGGUGUAGACUCCAUGUCUGCCAUGUGAAGAAGACUCAUACUGAUGGCUGAAAGCUCUGGAGUAUGAAGACUCGUCUGUGGAGAAGACUGGUCGACUGGAGCUAACCUGUUGGAGACAACAGCUUGAUUCGUCUUCAGUUUGUUUUCCCACACACCCUGAACUUCUCAUCCAACUGCUGGACAUAAAGGUGGAAAACAGGCUGAAGACCACCACCUGGUGGCCGACUGAAGUACAUAUCAUUAACUUCAGUUUAUACUGUUCAUAACUUCAGUUUGUACUGUUCAUAACUUCAGUUUGUACUGUUCAUAACUUCAGUUUAUACUAUUCAUAACUUCAGUUUGUACUGUUCAUAACUUCAGUUUAUACAGUUCUGACUUCAGUUUAUAUUGUUGUGACUGCAGAGUAAGCUUCAUUCACAUUCAAGUUUCACAAAAUUAAGGAAGUUUCUAACCAAAAAAAUACAAAAAAAAAAAAUGAGAAGAGGAAAUAUAAGAAAGGGAUGAAACCACUAUAACACAGAGCACCACCCUAUUGCUCAUCCACACGAUGGUGAAGGUGGAUGUUACAGAGGGUUAGAGAGCACCACAGAGAGGCUAUAAACAGAAGCACAUCACAGGAAGUGCGCACUGACUAUCACAACAUGACGACUGAAGAGCAGCUUUGAACUCACUGUCUGAAAGCAGAGCAGAUGCUACAGAACAACACAGGAAGUGCAGACAUCAGGUUGAUAUAAACAUCCAUGCACACGUGUCCCAUACAGAUGAGGCAACCUUUAACUGUACCCUAACCCUUAAAUCUUCAGUAACUGAUGUCUCUUUUGUAACAUUGAUGCUGUGAUUGGUUGUGUCUCCUGAUGAGUCCAAUAAGUGAACAUCUGUCUUUUUAGCUACUGAAUGCUCUGCUGUGUUCACAUCUAAUCUCUGUCUGUCUGAUGUUUGAAGUGUACACUGACUCUAUACAGCUUCUUCUGUGAGAGCACUAAGAGCCAGAACAGAUCAAAAAUGAUGUCUGUAAAAAACGACUGCAGAUUCAGCUGAUGAUUCAGCACCAGAGACACAAACUCAUCAUCACACUUUCUAUAAGAUAUUCAUCAGAGGUGCUUUAUGUUUGUAGAGAAAAAACACACAAUUGAAACCAACAAACAUCUUAAACAUGUCGGCAGGUGAUAGUGUAAGAGUUUAAGUUUGUACCACGUUGGGAUGUUUUCCGAGGGCGACAGCUGCAUGUUCGUCAGUGUUUGUUUGUCGCUGACGUCUCCUGAUGG
Long non-coding RNA from Acanthopagrus latus (yellowfin seabream), 1818 nucleotides. RefSeq lists it as uncharacterized. The transcript has 2 exons. Lineage: Eukaryota; Metazoa; Chordata; Actinopteri; Spariformes; Sparidae. The record is from RefSeq and is a predicted model, not a curated record.